Juglans microcarpa x Juglans regia is the source of this 327-nucleotide long non-coding RNA. RefSeq lists it as uncharacterized. The transcript is spliced from 3 exons. The record is from RefSeq and is a predicted model, not a curated record. Lineage: Eukaryota; Viridiplantae; Streptophyta; Magnoliopsida; Fagales; Juglandaceae.
CUAGAUGUGCGCUCGACUUAGCGCUCGAGCAGAACCCAUCCAGAGAGGUUCGCUUGAUGUGCGCUUGACUUAGCACUCGAGCGGAACCCAUCCAGAGAGGUUCGCUCGAUGUGCGCUCGACGUGGCGCUCGAGCAGAACUCAUCCAGAGAAGUUCGCUCGACGUCUCGCUCGAGCGAUUUCAGAAGACAACGUGCGCUCGACCUUCGCUCGACACCUCACUCGAGCCAAUGUUCAAGACAACCUAAAAUUCAUGAUUUUGAGCGCCGUGUCUUGCUGAGACUAUAAAUAGAAUAGCUUAUUUCUGUUCUUUGGUGUGGAGAAACAGA